Long non-coding RNA from Eucalyptus grandis, 1654 nucleotides. RefSeq lists it as uncharacterized. The record is from RefSeq and is a predicted model, not a curated record. NCBI's taxonomy places the organism in Eukaryota, Viridiplantae, Streptophyta, Magnoliopsida, Myrtales, Myrtaceae. The transcript has 2 exons.
UACUUCCUUCUCUCUCCUCUCUCCUGGAAGCUCGCGUUCUCCACACGACCCCCUAUCGAAGCGUACGGCUCCCUCCGCUUUCCGAGGGGAAGCGGAGCAGGCGGCGUGGGUUUCGGCGCCCGGAGAGAUCCGCCGGAGUGGGGCGCAGCCCCGCUCGUCGACGGUGAGAGCUUGCAUGGACCCGGGGCCGUCUCCGUUUCCCGCGAUCGCUCGUCGAGGUUUCGGGUUCGUCCGGGAUUUGUUCCGUCAUCGUCUUCUUCUCUGCUCCUUUCGGUGAGGUGGGUUACGGAGGAAACGGGUCGCGGAUGAGCGUGUAGGAGAUCGGAGAUCGGUCGCCGUUUCGCGGCGUGAUGAUUGAUGAGCUGAUGGGAAUGGUCCGAGCUUUGGAGUCGGAAAAUGGCGGCCGGGGUGCAACAGAAGGUGUUUCGUUGGAGCGGGGCGGGUGACGUAGCUUCUCAAUGGACAGAAAAGCUCUGGACUUUUCGCCCUACUGGCACUGAGGUAGCUUCUCCAUUUCCGCCGCCAUCUCUCGUUUUUGGCUCCGCCGUCUGACCAAGGUCAGUUGCGUGCUGGGGAUUCUUGCGUCGGACAAGUAUGCUGGUCACAGUACGGAGCAGUUGAAGGGAGGAGUGGUUCUAAUUUCUUGUUCGUGAUUUUCUUCAAUCUGCCCCUUUGAUUCGCAACGCCCGUUCUAAUUCGAGCGAGUUUAUCUGGUUAUAGAUAGGUUUGAGGCACCGAAUGAGUCGAUGAGUUGAGCUCUAGUUUUUAGUCUUCUUGGUAGCUGAACUCAUCCUUUUCUCCGUUCGACAUUGUACUUUCUGAGGUUGCUUCUGCUGAUCGCCUCUCUCGUCGGCACUAUUCCUCUGUCUCUUCUUGCAUUGGAUCAGUUUUGAGCUUGCUCGAGAAUUGAUGGCCUUGCUUGAGAGCUUCGAGGACUGUCAAAAACGAGUCUUGAUUCUGAACGGCCGUAUCAUAUCCUCAGAACACGGACCGCAGGUUGCAAUUCUCAAGUUAUAAUAUUUAUCCAGGAAUAAUAAUAUAUGCUUGUUUCAGUAAUCUAAUCCUGUUUCGUAGUUUAAUCCUGUUCUUUCUGGGGUCACUUUGCUUUAGAUAAUGAAUGACCAUUACUCCAAGUUUGUUCUGCAUUUGCGUCCAUUGUGAUGUUUUAUCCUUUGUUGUGGAGUAGCUAACAUGAUGUAUCAGUCACCCCAAUUAGAUCAAAAUGCCAACCUCAUUCGGUGUGAGAGUGCUUGGUCAUUGAUGUUGUUACAGUCAGGUUGAACUGCUGGGAAGCUGUCUUGGUGGAGAUGGAGUAUGGAGGAACUACAUUAGUGGGCCAAGCUGAUGCCUGUGUGAUAGAGCAGAGCCUUUUUGUCAGCUCUGUUGAAAUAAUUCAAUGGACUUAGAGCCAAUGAGGGGUCGAGCAGGGAUGCACAAAAAGGAAAUUGGUCGCACCUUUUUCACACGAAUACCCUUCAAGCUCAUUUCCAAUUGGUUUUCCAAAUUCUGUAGUUCUUUUACGCUGAGACCAGAUAGUUCUUGUCCCAUUAAUUGCCUGCAUGUAUGGAAUGAAGAAAAGAAUUCACAUUGUUGACUCUUGCGUGAUGUAUUCUUAUAGUCGGAUUGAAUGAAGUACCCUUGAACUUAUCCAGUA